Non-coding RNA from Xyrichtys novacula (pearly razorfish), 624 nucleotides. The record is from the annotation of a GenBank genome assembly. Lineage: Eukaryota; Metazoa; Chordata; Actinopteri; Labriformes; Labridae.
GGGGAAGAUAGCUGAUUUUAUAUGUUCAGGAACUCGUAUAUCCACCCAUCUGUAGCUUGUGCACACAAGGUACUAACCUAUGGAAAAUGAUCUUGUUCAGACAUGUUGUCUUGGAGGAAAAAGUUGAUCAAGUAGUGCAGUAGUUAUUGUUUUCAGGAUCAAGUCAACAAGAUAUUGACUUGUGUGCACAGGGUAAUAGAUUAUCGUAAAUGCCUAAGGCAAUAACUUUGGGACACAAGAUAAUAUCUUGUUUUCACAAUAUAAUGAUGAUGUGCCCACAAGAUAACUUACUUCUGCCGCUAAGAUCAUAACUGUAAAAUGUUCCCACAGGAUACCAGCUUUGUCUCACAAGAUAAUCACUGAAGAGCCCGAGAGAAUAUACUGGUCAGGAGGGCCAGUUCUGUCCUGGACUGUUCUUUGGACUCCCUGGAGGAGGUGGGUGAGAGGAGGAUGUUAGCAAAGCUUGUAUCCAUCAUGGACAAUCCCUCCCACCCACUGCACCAGACUGUGGGGGCCUUAAGCAGCUCCUUCAGCAGCAGACUUAGACUCCCACCUUGCAAGACGGAGCGCUACCGCAGGUCAUUCCUCCCCUCUGCAAUAAGACUUUACAACGAACUGUAAUAA